UCUAGUCUGCUUACCUUCGACGUCGACGAUGUCUGAUUCUGACCCUAGCCUCAUGCCGGCUUCUUCGUCCACGACGACCUGCAACCCGGCCCCGGGAACACCUUCACCAUCACUAUCACUUCCCAAGUUCCCAUGAGCUCCCACGGCCCAAGCCCAACCUCCAUGGCUAGCUCCCACAGUUGAUGAUCAACGUCAACCACUCCCGGGAUCGACAUUGGAGAUCCAGUCAGAUCAGGAAAACGCGCAAAAAUCGUGCCGAAGGAGAUACCAAAUAUAGCAGAGUCUGAAGCUAAA
This 294-nucleotide long non-coding RNA is filed under the name Setaria viridis. RNAcentral describes it as "long non-coding RNA (SVIR_LNC000132)". Lineage: Eukaryota; Viridiplantae; Streptophyta; Magnoliopsida; Poales; Poaceae. The record is from RNAcentral.